RNAcentral lists this ribosomal RNA (216 nucleotides) under Bacillota bacterium. RNAcentral's name for it is "Firmicutes bacterium (gut metagenome) partial 23S ribosomal RNA". It matches the Rfam family "Bacterial large subunit ribosomal RNA", at positions 2710 to 2925 of the family's 2925-position model. Lineage: Bacteria; Bacillati; Bacillota. The record is from RNAcentral.
UGGUGCACCAGUUGUCACGCCAGUGGCACAGCUGGGCAGCUAUGUGCGGAUCGGAUAAACGCUGAAAGCAUCUAAGCGUGAAGCCGGCCUCAAGAUGAGAUAUCCCACUGAGUAAUCAGGUAAGGUCCCAGGUAGACUACCUGGUAGAUAGGCUGCGUGUGUAAGUGCGGUGACGCAUUGAGCUUGGCAGUACUAAUAGACCGAGGGCUUGACCAA